This 2999-nucleotide small RNA is filed under the name Pan troglodytes (chimpanzee). RNAcentral describes it as "processed transcript". The record is from RNAcentral. Lineage: Eukaryota; Metazoa; Chordata; Mammalia; Primates; Hominidae.
AGCUCCCUUCCUCUUUCCUUUCGACGUCCUUCCUUCCCUUUUUCUCCUCUCCCCCCUCCCCCGCUUUCCCUUCUCCAGAUAAGCAGCUCCGGGAAACAAAGAAUCCGGGGCUCUCCAGACAUCAGAGCUUAAACCCAGGACUCUGCAAGCGGCAUCUCAUUCCGGGGUCCAGGGCUCUCCCGGCUCUCCAUCCCCUCCCUAACCUCCCCCGCCUCCCGCGCUCGCUCCCUCGCUCCCUCGCUCCCUCCCCGCUCGCUUCCUCCCCCACCAUCGCAGCGCUAGGAGGAAGGCGGCCGGGGCUCAAGAUGGCUUUAGCCGGGCUCUGCGCCCUGCUCGCCUGCUGCUGGGGGCCGGCGGCGGUGCUGGCCACGGCCGCCGGCGACGUGGAUCCAUCCAAGGAGCUGGAGUGCAAGCUCAAAAGCAUCACGGUGUCGGCACUGCCCUUCCUGCGCGAGAACGACCUGAGCAUCAUGCACAGCCCCUCGGCCUCGGAGCCCAAGCUCCUCUUCUCGGUGCGCAACGACUUCCCGGGAGAAAUGGUCGUGGUGGACGACCUGGAGAACACGGAGCUGCCCUACUUCGUGCUGGAGAUCUCAGGGAACACAGAGGAUAUCCCUUUGGUGCGCUGGAGGCAGCAGUGGCUGGAGAAUGGCACUUUGCUAUUUCACAUUCAUCACCAAGAUGGUGCCCCAAGCCUUCCUGGACAAGACCCCACUGAAGAACCCCAACAUGAGUCGGCAGAAGAGGAGCUGAGGAUCCUCCACAUCUCAGUCAUGGGUGGCAUGAUCGCUCUGCUGCUGUCCAUCUUGUGCCUGGUGAUGAUCCUGUAUACUCGCCGGCGCUGGUGCAAACGCCGCCGGGUCCCCCAGCCCCAGAAGAGUGCCAGUGCUGAGGCAGCCAAUGAGAUUCACUACAUUCCUUCUGUGCUGAUCGGCGGGCACGGACGGGAGAGCCUGCGCAAUGCCCGCGUGCAGGGCCACAACUCCAGUGGCACCCUGAGCAUCCGGGAGACACCCAUCCUGGACGGCUAUGAGUAUGACAUCACUGAUCUGCGCCACCAUCUGCAGAGGGAGUGCAUGAACGGAGGGGAGGACUUUGCCAGCCAGGUCACGCGCACCCUCGACUCCCUGCAGGGCUGCAAUGAAAAGUCGGGGAUGGACCUCACACCAGGAAGUGACAAUGCCAAGCUGUCACUGAUGAACAAGUAUAAAGAUAAUAUUAUAGCCACUAGCCCUGUGGACUCCAACCACCAGCAAGCCACCCUUCUCUCUCACACCUCCAGCAGCCAGAGAAAGCGGAUCAACAACAAAGCAAGAGCUGGUUCCGCCUUCUUGAACCCUGAAGGGGAUUCUGGCACAGAGGCAGAAAACGACCCCCAGCUGACCUUUUACACAGAUCCUUCAAGGAGCAGGAGGCGUAGUAGAGUGGGUUCUCCCCGAAGUCCUGUGAAUAAGACCACCUUGACCCUGAUCAGCAUCACCAGCUGUGUGAUUGGCCUCGUGUGCUCCUCUCACGUCAACUGCCCUCUCGUUGUCAAGAUCACCCUGCAUGUCCCUGAGCACCUGAUUGCUGAUGGGAGCCGCUUCAUCUUGCUGGAGGGGAGCCAGCUGGAUGCCAGUGACUGGCUGAACCCUGCCCAAGUGGUUCUCUUCUCUCAGCAGAACUCCAGCGGACCCUGGGCCAUGGACCUCUGUGCCCGGCGGCUCCUGGACCCCUGUGAACACCAAUGCGACCCCGAAACUGGGGAAUGCCUCUGCUAUGAAGGCUACAUGAAGGAUCCAGUACAUAAGCACCUUUGCAUUCGGAACGAAUGGGGGACAAACCAGGGGCCAUGGCCUUACACAAUAUUUCAGCGAGGCUUUGACCUGGUUUUGGGAGAGCAGCCCUCUGAUAAAAUAUUUAGAUUCACCUACACUCUUGGGGAGGGCAUGUGGUUGCCCCUCAGCAAGAGCUUUGUGAUUCCACCAGCCGAACUGGCCAUCAAUCCAUCAGCAAAGUGCAAGACGGACAUGACCGUGAUGGAGGAUGCUGUGGAGGUCAGAGAGGAGCUGAUGACUUCAUCCUCCUUCGACAGCCUGGAGGUUCUCUUAGAUUCCUUUGGGCCGGUGCGCGACUGCAGCAAAGAUAACGGGGGCUGCAGUAAGAAUUUCCGCUGUAUUUCAGAUCGCAAGCUGGACUCCACUGGUUGCGUGUGCCCAUCUGGACUCAGUCCCAUGAAGGACAGCUCUGGCUGCUAUGACCGCCACAUCGGGGUGGACUGUUCCGACGGCUUCAACGGCGGCUGUGAGCAGCUGUGCCUCCAGCAGAUGGCGCCCUUCCCGGACGACCCCACCUUGUAUAACAUCCUCAUGUUCUGUGGGUGCAUCGAGGACUACAAGCUUGGUGUGGAUGGACGCUCUUGCCAACUCAUCACGGAGACCUGUCCAGAGGGAAGUGACUGUGGGGAAAGCAGGGAGCUUCCCAUGAACCAGACCCUCUUUGGGGAGAUGUUCUUUGGUUACAACAACCAUUCCAAGGAAGUGGCUGCCGGACAGGUGCUGAAAGGAACAUUCAGGCAAAACAACUUUGCUCGUGGUUUAGACCAGCAACUGCCAGAUGGUCUUGUGGUGGCCACUGUGCCCCUGGAGAAUCAAUGCCUAGAGGAGAUCUCGGAGCCCACCCCUGACCCUGACUUCCUGACUGGGAUGGUGAACUUCAGUGAAGUGUCUGGGUACCCUGUGCUGCAGCACUGGAAGGUCCGGUCUGUGAUGUACCACAUCAAACUCAACCAAGUGGCCAUCUCUCAGGGUGAGCACUGCUGCGGGCUAUCCUGCCCACCUUCCCUGGAACUUAGAAGUCCUUUCCAAGGGGUGAAGCCUUUGGUCCCACUGUUGAAGAUGCAGCCUAAAAUGUAGCUAUUGCAUGAGGUGUGUGAGCUAUUUACUCAGAUUUAUCCAGAAGAGCAGAUGGCUAGAAUCGAAUUCUUUUCUAAGUAGAGAUUACAUUGCACGUGUUAUCUU